Molecule: long non-coding RNA, 271 nt
Filed under: Ananas comosus (pineapple)
Lineage: Eukaryota; Viridiplantae; Streptophyta; Magnoliopsida; Poales; Bromeliaceae
Description: long non-coding RNA (ACOM_LNC038015)
Source: RNAcentral
UGGAGGCCCGACGUGGAUGGUGACCUCCCGAGCUCAAUGAUCGAGAAAGGUGGUGGCUAGAUGGAGGAGAUGGUGGAGGAGAGGCCGACCAAACAAUUCCAGCGGCCGGGGUGCGCGCACGGCUAGGGCACCAAGGAGCUAAUGACGACUAGGGCGGCCUAGGGUUAGCUGGGGUGGAUUAGGGUUAGGGUUUCAUGUGGGAAACCCUAACACUACUUUUAUACAUUGAGUGUAUAAUUACAGAAAAGCCCUCCAGAGUCAAUUAUUUUCA